AUUGAACGCUGGCGGCAUGCCUUACACAUGCAAGUCGAACGGUAACAGGUCUUCGGAUGCUGACGAGUGGCGAACGGGCGAGUAAUACAUCGGAACGUGCCCGAUCGUGGGGGAUAACGAAGCGAAAGCUUUGCUAAUACCGCAUACGAUCUACGGAUGAAAGCAGGGGACCGCAAGGCCUUGCGCGAACGGAGCGGCCGAUGGCAGAUUAGGUAGUUGGUGGGAUAAAAGCUUACCAAGCCGACGAUCUGUAGCUGGUCUGAGAGGACGACCAGCCACACGGGGACGUGGACACGGCCCAGGCUCCUACGGGAGGCAGCAGUGGGGAAUUUUGGACAAUGGGCGAAAGCCUGAUCCAGCCAUGCCGCGUGCAGGAUGAAGGCCUUCGGGUUGUAAACUGCUUUUGUACGGAACGAAAAGACUCUGGUUAAUACCUGGGGUCCAUGACGGUACCGUAAGAAUAAGCACCGGCUAACUACGUG
Molecule: ribosomal RNA, 482 nt
Filed under: uncultured bacterium
Lineage: Bacteria
Description: partial 16S ribosomal RNA
Rfam family: Bacterial small subunit ribosomal RNA
Source: RNAcentral